Molecule: ribosomal RNA, 497 nt
Filed under: uncultured bacterium
Lineage: Bacteria
Description: partial 16S ribosomal RNA
Rfam family: Bacterial small subunit ribosomal RNA
Source: RNAcentral
GAUGAACGCUGGCGGCGUGCCUAAUACAUGCAAGUCGAGCGAACAGACGAGGAGCUUGCUCCUCUGACGUUAGCGGCGGACGGGUGAGUAACACGUGGAUAACCUACCUAUAAGACUGGGAUAACUUCGGGAAACCGGAGCUAAUACCGGAUAAUAUAUUGAACCGCAUGGUUCAAUAGUGAAAGACGGUUUUGCUGUCACUUAUAGAUGGAUCCGCGCCGCAUUAGCUAGUUGGUAAGGUAACGGCUUACCAAGGCAACGAUGCGUAGCCGACCUGAGAGGGUGAUCGACCACACUGGAACUGAGACACGGUCCAGACUCCUACGGGAGGCAGCAGUAGGGAAUCUUCCGCAAUGGGCGAAAGCCUGACGUAGCAACGCCGCGUGAGUGAUGAAGGUCUUCGGAUCGUAAAACUCUGUUAUUAGGGAAGAACAAAUGUGUAAGUAACUAUGCACGUCUUGACGGUACCUAAUCAGAAAGCCACGGCUAACUACGUG